Molecule: unclassified non-coding RNA, 353 nt
Filed under: plant metagenome
Description: partial contains 5.8S ribosomal RNA, internal transcribed spacer 2, and large subunit ribosomal RNA
Rfam family: 5.8S ribosomal RNA (bases 1-107)
Source: RNAcentral
GAAAUGCGAUACUUGGUGUGAAUUGCAGAAUCCCGCGAAUCAUCGAGUUUUUGAACGCAAGUUGCGCCCGAAGCCAUUCGGCCGAGGGCACGUCUGCCUGGGUGUCACGCAUCGUUGCCCCCCCAAACUCCGGUUCGGGCGGGGCGGAAGUUGGCCUCCCGUGCGCGCCUGCGCGCGCGGUUAGCCCAAAAGCGAGUCCUCGGCGACGAGCGCCACGACAAUCGGUGGUUUUUCGACCCUCGUUCCACGUCGUGCGCGCCCCGUCGCCCGAACUCUUGCGACCCUUACGCGUUGCCUCGGCGACGCUCCCAACGCGACCCCAGGUCAGGCGGGACUACCCGCUGAGGUUAAGC